This is an RNA transcript of Otolemur garnettii (small-eared galago), 1159 nucleotides long. It is a transcript of the gene named eukaryotic initiation factor 4A-II pseudogene, with no coding region annotated. The record is from RefSeq and is a predicted model, not a curated record. The transcript has a single exon. NCBI's taxonomy places the organism in Eukaryota, Metazoa, Chordata, Mammalia, Primates, Galagidae.
CAUCUAUGCUUAUGGUUUUGAGAAGCCUUCCGCUAUUCAGCAGAAAGCUAUUAUUCCUUGUAUUAAAGGGUAUGAUGUGAUUGCUCAAGCUCAGUCAGGUACUGGCAAGACAGCCACAUUUGCUAUUUCCAUCCUGCAACAGUUGGAGAUUGAGUUCAAGGAGACCCAAGCACUAGUAUUAGCCCCCAUCAGAGAACUGGCUCAACAGAUUCAAAAGGUAAUAGGUAAUUCUGGCACUUAGAGACUAUAUGGGAGCAACUUGUCAUGCUUGCAUUGGUGGGACAAAUGUUCAAACUGAAAUGCAAAAACUUCAGGCUGAAGCACCACAUACUGUAGUUGGUAUACCAGGGAGAGUGAUAUGUUAAACAGAAGACACCUCUCUCCGAAAUGGAUCAAAAUGUUUGUUUUGGAUGAAGCAGAUGAAAUGUUGAGCCAAGGGUUUAAGGAUCAAAUCUUUGAGGCUUUCCAAAAAUUAAAUACAAGUAUUCAGGUUGUGUUGCUUUCUGCUGCAAUGCCAACUGAUGUGUUGGACGUGACCAAAACAUUCAUGAGCGAUCCAAUUCGAAUUCUGGUGAAAAAGGAAGAACUGACCCUUGAAGGAAUCAAACAGUUUUAUAUUAAUGUUGAAAGAGAGGACUAGAAGUUGGAUACACUUUGUGACUUGUAUGAGACACUGACCAUUAUGCAGCCUGUUAUUUUUCUCAAUACAGCGCAAGAUGAACUGGCUCACUGAGAAAACGCAUGCCAGGGACUUCACAGUGUCUGCUCUGCAUGGUGACAUGGACCAGAAGGAAAGGGAUGUCAUCACGAGGGAGUUCUGGUCAGGGCCAAGCUGUGCUCUGAUCACUACUCACUUAUUGGCUCAUGGGAUUGAUGUGCAACAAGUGUCUUUGGUUAUAAACUAUGACCUACCUACCAGUCAUGAAAACUAUAUUCACAGAAUUGGCAGAGGGGGUUGAUUUGGGAGGAAAGAUGUGGCUAUAAACUUUGUUACUGAAGAAGACAAGAGGAUUCUUCGUGACAUUGAGACUUUCUACAGCACUACAGUGGAGGAAAUGCCCAUGAGUGCGGUUGACCUUAUUUAAUUCCUGGGAUGAGAGAGUUUUGAAUGCAGUGCUCGCUGUUGCUGAAUAGGCGAUCACAAUGUGCACUGUGCUUC